UCCCGCGUAGCUCAAUCGGCAGAGCGUCCGGCUGUUAACCGGCAGGCUGUAGGUUCGAGUCCUACCGCGGGAG
This 73-nucleotide transfer RNA is filed under the name Streptosporangiaceae bacterium. Its description in RNAcentral is "tRNA-Asn". It matches the Rfam family "tRNA". Rfam says of the family: Transfer RNA (tRNA) molecules are approximately 80 nucleotides in length. The record is from RNAcentral. Lineage: Bacteria; Bacillati; Actinomycetota; Actinomycetes; Streptosporangiales; Streptosporangiaceae.